CAGGCCUAACACAUGCAAGUCGAGGGGGAACAGAGAAGCUUGCUUCUGCUGACGACCGGCGCACGGGUGCGUAACGCGUAUGCAACUUACCUCAUACAGGAGAAUAGCCCUUGGAAACGAGGAUUAAUACUCCAUGGUAUCAUUCUUUCGCAUGUUAUAAUGAUUAAAGAAUUUCGGUAUGAGAUGGGCAUGCGUCCCAUUAGCUAGUUGGUGAGGUAACGGCUCACCAAGGCGACGAUGGGUAGGGGGCCUGAGAGGGUGGUCCCCCACACUGGUACUGAGACACGGACCAGACUCCUACGGGAGGCAGCAGUGAGGGAUAUUGGUCAAUGGAGGCAACUCUGAACCAGCCAUGCCGCGUGAAGGAUGACGGCCCUAUGGGUUGUAAACUUCCUUUAUAUGGGAAGAAACUUAUCUACGUGUAGAUAACUGACGGUACCAUACUAAUAAGGAUCGGCUAACUCCGUGCCAGCAGCCGCGGUAAUACGGACGAUCCAAGCGUUAUCCGGAUUCAUUGGGUUUACAGGGUCCGUAGGCAGAUUUGUAAGUCAGUGGUGAAAGCUACACAGCUCAUCUAUCGAACUGCCAAUAAUUCUGGAAAUCUUGACUACAAAUGAAGUAAGCCGGAGUACUCCUGUGCGGUGAAAUG
RNAcentral lists this ribosomal RNA (649 nucleotides) under uncultured bacterium. Its description in RNAcentral is "bacterial SSU rRNA". It matches the Rfam family "Bacterial small subunit ribosomal RNA", at positions 43 to 688 of the family's 1533-position model. The record is from RNAcentral.